Molecule: unclassified non-coding RNA, 389 nt
Filed under: uncultured fungus
Lineage: Eukaryota; Fungi
Description: partial contains small subunit ribosomal RNA, internal transcribed spacer 1, and 5.8S ribosomal RNA
Rfam family: Eukaryotic small subunit ribosomal RNA (bases 1-73)
Source: RNAcentral
ACAAACUUGGUCAUUUAGAGGAAGUAAAAGUCGUAACAAGGUAACCGUAGGUGAACCUGCGGUUGGAUCAUUACAAAAAAUCGUGAUUAUGGUGUAUGCGCCAUUAAUCCAAACACCUUGUGAACUGUUAUUGUAUUUGGCAAGUGAGGUGGUGAUGUUGUCGGUUAGGCUUUCUAUUCGGUUAGGAUAGGCCUGAUUCGGCUUCACGCAAUCGAGUUUCAGCCCCUAGUUCCCCUAAAGACUUUAAGGGAGUUUGGGAUUUGAAAGCUUGCCCUUGUAUUUUAAACACUACUUUUUUUAAUGAGACUGAACAAAAUACAUAAAGUUUAAAAUAUUAAACAACUUUUGGCAACGGAUCUCUUGGCUCUCGCAUCGAUGAAGAACGCAGC